This 253-nucleotide ribosomal RNA is filed under the name uncultured bacterium. Its description in RNAcentral is "partial 16S ribosomal RNA". It matches the Rfam family "Bacterial small subunit ribosomal RNA", at positions 524 to 776 of the family's 1533-position model. The record is from RNAcentral.
UACGUAGGGUGCGAGCGUUGCCCGGAUUUAUUGGGCGUAAAGGGCGCGUAGGCGGCCACGCACGUCCGUUGUGAAAUCGCCCGGCUCAACUGGGCGGGGUCAGCGGAUACGGUGUGGCUCGAGCAAGCUAGGGGGCAAUGGAAUUCCCGGUGUAGUGGUGGAAUGCGUAGAUAUCGGGAGGAACACCAGUGGCGAAGGCGGCUUCCUGGCCUGUUCUUGACGCUGAGGCGCGAAAGCUAGGGGAGCAAACGGG